RNAcentral lists this ribosomal RNA (236 nucleotides) under uncultured bacterium. Its description in RNAcentral is "partial 16S ribosomal RNA". It matches the Rfam family "Bacterial small subunit ribosomal RNA", at positions 118 to 347 of the family's 1533-position model. The record is from RNAcentral.
UGAGGAACAUGACCUCCGGCGGGGGAUAGCCGGCCCAACGGCCGGGUAAUACCGCGUACGACCACAUGGGGACAUCCCUGAGUGGUGAAAGCAGCAAUGCGCCGAUGGAGUGCCUCGCGGCCUAUCAGCUAGUUGGUGAGGUAACGGCUCACCAAGGCAACGACGGGUANCUGGUCUGAGAGGAUGGCCAGCCACAUUGGGACUGAGACACCGGCCCAGACCUCGUAACGGGGAGG